This 268-nucleotide ribosomal RNA is filed under the name uncultured Glomus. Its description in RNAcentral is "partial small subunit ribosomal RNA". It matches the Rfam family "Eukaryotic small subunit ribosomal RNA", at positions 605 to 877 of the family's 1831-position model. The record is from RNAcentral. Lineage: Eukaryota; Fungi; Glomeromycota; Glomeromycetes; Glomerales; Glomeraceae.
UAAAAUUGUUGCAGUUAAAAAGCUCGUAGUUGAAUUUCGGGGUCAGUUCGCUGGUCAUGCUUCUGGUAUGUACUGGUGUUUCCGAUUCCUCCCUUCUGACGAACUGUCAUGUCAUUAAUUUGGUGUGGCAGGGAAUCAGGACUGUUACUUUGAAAAAAUUAGAGUGUUUAAAGCAGGCUCGCGCUUGAAUACAUUAGCAUGGAAUAAUGAAAUAGNACGUUCGAUCCUAUUUUGUUGGUUUCUAGGAUUGACGUAAUGAUUAAUAGGG